UGGUUUUUUUUAUGGCUAUACAACUUCUCUAUUCUGUAUAGGCGAUGUUUCUACAUAGAUUCUAAUGUCGUUGUCAAGCAAGUGGACAGGUGAACAGU
This is a long non-coding RNA of Haliotis rubra (blacklip abalone), 98 nucleotides long. RefSeq lists it as uncharacterized. The record is from RefSeq and is a predicted model, not a curated record. Lineage: Eukaryota; Metazoa; Mollusca; Gastropoda; Lepetellida; Haliotidae. The transcript is spliced from 3 exons.